CUUUAUCAAUCGAGGUCAAUGAUUACUCCUUCCCCUAUUUAUACCGAUAAUCUCUCCACCAAUUUCACUCACAAACUCCUUAGAACAUCAUUACGUUAAGCCUUCACUGUUUGCUUCUGAUUUUCCCUUCUCCCUUUCUUGAUUUCUUUCCCUCAAAAGAAUAAUGUCUAGCUCCUCAUCUUCUUCCCAACACUAAAUCCCCAUUCCUAUAGAGGACUGAUUGGACAGGGCUUUUGAUGCACCUUUUGACCAAGAAAACGAGACCAAUUCCUCCGCCGAUACCCAGCUUGGGGUCGACUACUGCCGACAUCAUUCCCCCAAUCCUCAAUUUUUUGAAGGAUUUCCGUGUCCAUGUGAGUCAGCAAUUGAGUUUUGUUAUGUAGAUAUUCCCUAAUCACUCGAUCCAGUCGAAGUUGAGAUUCUCUUAGCCCCUGAAGACACCGACAUUUCUCAUCAUGCUGUCGUGACCCCGGUUGAAUAAGAUUUUUUGCCCAACCUUUUUGGCCGGGUGUGGUCAUCCUGCACGCAUUUCUCAGGGUUGAGAGGACCCAGAGGAGUAUUUCUGCCAACUGUUGGAGGGGUAAGAUCCAUAGGAUCUUCAUCUCGGAGGGUUCCCUCCCGGAAGGAAGCUUGCACCAAUAUUGAACAAACUGCAGCCGCUGCCUCUGAUUCUCGCAAACAAAGGCCUUUGGGUGAUGUCUGCGCUUCUUCCUUCGGAGGGAUUGGUUCUCAGGUUAGGACACUCAGCAGGCUCAUUUAAUACUGGCAAGAGGUUAUUUAAGGCGUGGUGAAUUUGGAUAUAGGUGAAG
Molecule: long non-coding RNA, 809 nt
Organism: Lycium ferocissimum
Lineage: Eukaryota; Viridiplantae; Streptophyta; Magnoliopsida; Solanales; Solanaceae
Exons: 3
Source: RefSeq, a predicted model, not a curated record